UUGUUGGUAAGGUAAAAGCUUACCAAGGCUUCGAUCAGUAGCUGGUCUGAGAGGACGACCAGCCACACUGGGACUGAGACACGGCCCAGACUCCUACGGGAGGCAGCAGUGGGGAAUUUUGGACAAUGGGGGAACCCUGAUCCAGCCAUGCCGCGUGAGUGAAGAAGGCCUUCGGGUUGUAAAGCUCUUUCAGCCGGAACGAAACGGUUACGGUUAAUACCCGUGACUACUGACGGUACCGGAAGAAGAAGCACCGGCUAACUACGUGCCAGCAGCCGCGGUAAUACGUAGGGUGCGAGCGUUAAUCGGAAUUACUGGGCGUAAAGCGUGCGCAGGUGGUUUUGUAAGUCAGAUGUGAAAGCCCCGGGCUCAACCUGGGAACUGCGUUUGAAACUACAAGACUAGAGUGUGGCAGAGGGGGGUGGAAUUCCGCGUGUAGCAGUGAAAUGCGUAGAGAUGUGGAGGAACACCGAUGGCGAAGGCAGCCCCCUGGGUCAACACUGACGCUCAGGCACGAAAGCAUGGGGAGCAAACAGGAUUAGAUACCCUGGUAGUCCAUGCCCUAAACGAUGUCAACUAGUUGUCGGGCCUUUACGGGCUUGGUAACGUAGCUAACGCGUGAAGUUGACCGCCUGGGGAGUACGAUCGCAAGAUUAAAACUCAAAUGAAUUGACGGGGACCCGCACAAGCGGUGGAUUAUGUGGAUUAAUUCGAUGCAACGCGAAAAACCUUACCUACCCUUGACAUGUAUCGAAGCCCGCAGAAAAGCGGGGGUGCCCGAAAGGGAACGAUAACACAGGUGCUGCAUGGCUGUCGUCAGCUCGUGUCGUGAGAUGUUGGGUUAAGUCCCGCAACGAGCGCAACCCUUGUCAUUAAUUGCCAUCAUUUAGUUGGGCACUUUAAUGAGACUGCCGG
Molecule: ribosomal RNA, 915 nt
Filed under: uncultured bacterium
Lineage: Bacteria
Description: bacterial SSU rRNA
Rfam family: Bacterial small subunit ribosomal RNA
Source: RNAcentral